CCCGGCUGCAAGCAGAGGAGAGCGGCCUCGAGGAGAGGAGCAGCCCGAACGCCCGGCGGGCAAACGCGGGGGCAGUCCACAUGCUGCACCGCGGAGGGGCUCUGAAGCGCCUUCGCCACGGAAGAGGCGCCAAGAGAGUCAGAAGGGAGGAAACCUUCACUAGAGAGGGAGGUCCAUAAUUACCACUGAGAAGGUCCUGUCUGUCAUCUCCACCAGUCGCACCUGUGAAGGAAGUGGAACCAGCCUCCCCAGAAGAUCUUAACAUCCACACUGGUUCAUAGAGCGAGAUACGUUCAGUCAGGAGCAACUUGAGUCGCUUCUGGAGUGAGAGAAUUGGCCGCCUGCAAGGACAUUGCCCAGGGGAUGCCCGGAUGUUUUGAUGUUUUUACCAUCCUUGUGGGAGGCUUCUCUCAUGUCCCCGCAUGGAGCUGGAGCUGAUAGAGGGAGCUCAUCCGUACUCUCCCCGGGUGGGAUUCGAACCUGGCAGCUUUCAGAACUACAACCUGGAGAGAUGCUGCUUAGAGACUUCACCCCAUCACCUCAAGCCGGUUUACUGAGAACACCCUCAGGGCUUGAUAGCUGCCUUCCAGAGUUUCAGAGAAUCAUGCUCCACAUGUCCUGGGAGAAGAUCAUGAACUUCAAAAAUGACUUUUAAGAAGAAUGAAUUUAACGACAUGCUGAAUACAUUCAUUACUAUGCAAUGCUUUGAGAUCGAGAGGAUCAUCCUACAAUUGCUCCAUCAUGAAUGGUUGAUGAAUAUAAUUGUGUUCAAUCUUC
Anolis carolinensis (green anole) is the source of this 777-nucleotide long non-coding RNA. RefSeq lists it as uncharacterized. Lineage: Eukaryota; Metazoa; Chordata; Lepidosauria; Squamata; Anolidae. The transcript has 5 exons. The record is from RefSeq and is a predicted model, not a curated record.